RNAcentral lists this ribosomal RNA (558 nucleotides) under fungal endophyte. RNAcentral's name for it is "eukaryotic LSU rRNA". The stretch from base 182 to 335 matches the Rfam family "5.8S ribosomal RNA". Lineage: Eukaryota; Fungi. The record is from RNAcentral.
CAUUAAAGAGUUCUAUAACUCCCAAACCCAUGUGAACAUACCUAACGUUGCCUCGGCAGGUCGCACCUACCUUGUAGCACCCUACCCUGUAGGGCCUACCCGGGAGGUGCGGGUAAGCCUGCCGGCGGCCCACCAAACUCUGUUUGAUAUUGAAUUCUGAACCUAUAACUAAAUAAGUUAAAACUUUCAACAACGGAUCUCUUGGUUCUGGCAUCGAUGAAGAACGCAGCGAAAUGCGAUAAGUAAUGUGAAUUGCAGAAUUCAGUGAAUCAUCGAAUCUUUGAACGCAUAUUGCGCCCAUUAGUAUUCUAGUGGGCAGGACCGUUCGAGCGUCAUUUCAACCCUUAAGCCUUCGUUGCUUAGUGUUGGGAGCCUACGGCAACGUAGCUCCUCAAAGUUAGUGGCGGAGUUGGUUCACACUCUAGACGUAGUAAUUUUUUAUCUCGCCUAUUAGUUGGACUAAUCCCCUGCCGUAAAACCCCCAAUUUAUCAAGGUUGACCUCGAAUCGGUUCAGACAAACUCGCUAAAUUGAAGCAUCUUAGUCAGCGAAGGAAAAG